GAUGAACGCUGGCGGCGUGCCUAAUACAUGCAAGUCGAGCGAACGGACGAGACGCUUGCUUUUCUGAUGUUAGCGGCGGACGGGAGAGUAACACGUGGAUCACCUCCCUAUAAGACUGGGAUCACUUCGGGAAACCGGAGCUAAUCCCGGAUAAUAUUUUGAACCGCAUGGUUCAAAAGUGAAAGACGGUCUUGCUGUCACUUAUAGAUGGAUCCGCGCUGCAUUAGCUAGUUGGUAAGGUAACGGCUUAUCAAGGCAACGAUGCCUAGCCGACCUGUGAGAGGGGUCGGCGACACGGGAGGGGGGACGCGGUCCUUGCGACUACGGGAGGCAGCAGUAGGGAAUGUGACGCAGUGGUCGAAAGCCUGACGGAACAACGCGGCGUGAGUGAUGGAAGUCUUCGGAGCGGAAAACUCGGUUAUGAGGGAUGAACAUAUGUGUAAGGAACUGAGCACAGCGUGACGGUACCGGAUCAGAAAGCCACGGCUAACUACGUG
Molecule: ribosomal RNA, 497 nt
Filed under: uncultured bacterium
Lineage: Bacteria
Description: partial 16S ribosomal RNA
Rfam family: Bacterial small subunit ribosomal RNA
Source: RNAcentral